CCGUGGCGGGCGGGGCUACACAUGCAAGUCGAGCGGUAGGAAAGAAGCUUGCUUACCCUUAGCUAGCGGCGGACGGGUGAGUAAUGCCUAGGAAUCUGCCUGGUAGUGGGGGACAACGUCCCGAAACGGAUGCUAAUACCGCAUACGUCCUACGGGAGAAAGCAGGGGAUCUUCGGACCUUGCGCUAUUAGAUGAGCCUAAGUCGGAUUAGCUAGUUGGUGGGGUAAUGGCCUACCAAGGCGACCGAUCCGUAACUGGUCUGAGAGGAUGAUCAGUCCACACUGGAACUGAGAACACGGUCCAGACUCCUACGGGAGGCAGCAGUGGGGAAUAUUGGACAAUGGGGGAAAGCCUGAUCCAGCCAUGCCGCGUGUGUGAAGAAGGUCUUCUGGUUGUAAAGCACUUUAAGCUGAGGAGGAAGCGUACGUUAAUUAAUACUUUGCGAUUUUGAACGUUUACCUACGCAGAUUAACCACCGGCUUACUUUGUGCCCACCACCGCCGUAAUACCGAAGGGUCAGGAAACGUUUAUCGGAUUUACUUGGCGUUAAGCGCGUCGUAGGUGGUUUGUUAAGUCGAAGUGUGAGAAUUCCCCGGACUCUACCCUGGGGAACUGCAUUCAGAUACUGAGUGACUUAGAGUAUGGUAGAGGGGAUGGGGGAAUUUCCUGGUGUAGCGGUGAAAUGCGUAAAUGAUCUAGGGAGAACUACCAGAUGGCGAAGGGCACCACCCUGACUGAUUACCGACACUGAGGUGCGAAAGCGUGGGGAAGCAAACAGGAUAAAAUCCCUUGUUGUAAUCCACUGCCGUAACCAAGAUGUCAUAUAGCCGUUGGAAGCCUUGAGCGUCUUAAUGGCGCCAGCUAAAGCAUUAAAUUGACCCCCUGGGGGAAUAGGGUCGCAAAGUCUAAAAUCUAAAUGAAUUGACCGGGGGGCCCGCACAACGCGGUGGAGCAUUGUGUUUAAUUCGAAGCACACGCGAAGAACCUUUCACAGGCCUUAGACCUUCAAUAGAAACUUUUCCAGAGUAGGUAUGGGGCCUUCGGGACAUCUUUAAAACACGGUGCUGCAUGGGCUGUCUGUCAAGUCUCGUGUCGUGAGAUUUGGGUUAAAUUCCCGACACAGGGGCAACCCUUGUUCCCUUAGUUACCAGCCACGUUAUGGAUGGGCACUCUUAAGGAGACUGCCGGUGACAAACCGGAGGAAGGUGGGGAUGACGUCAAGUCAUCAUGGCCCUUACGGCCUAGGGCUACACACGUGCUACAAUGGUCGGUACAAAGGGUUGCCACGCAGCGAGGUGAAGCUAAUCCCAUAAAACCGAUCGUAGUCCGGAUUGCAGUCUGCAACUCGACUCCGUGAAGUCGGAAUCGCUAGUAAUCGCGAAUCAGAAUGUCGCGGUGAAUACGUUCCCGGGCCUUGUACACACCGCCCGUCACACCAUGGGAGUGUGGUUGCACCAGAAGUAGCGUAGUCUAACUGCUACAGAGAGGGGACGGGGU
RNAcentral lists this ribosomal RNA (1497 nucleotides) under Pseudomonas baetica. Its description in RNAcentral is "bacterial SSU rRNA". It matches the Rfam family "Bacterial small subunit ribosomal RNA". Lineage: Bacteria; Pseudomonadati; Pseudomonadota; Gammaproteobacteria; Pseudomonadales; Pseudomonadaceae. The record is from RNAcentral.